Molecule: ribosomal RNA, 236 nt
Filed under: Bacillus sp. (in: firmicutes)
Lineage: Bacteria; Bacillati; Bacillota; Bacilli; Caryophanales; Bacillaceae
Description: Bacillus sp. (in: Bacteria) partial 16S ribosomal RNA
Rfam family: Bacterial small subunit ribosomal RNA
Source: RNAcentral
UGGGCGUAAGGGCUCGCAGGCGGUUUCUUAAGUCUGAUGUGAAAGCCCCCGGCUCAACCGGGGAGGGUCAUUGGAAACUGGGAAACUUGAGUGCAGAAGAGGAGAGUGGAAUUCCACGUGUAGCGGUGAAAUGCGUAGAGAUGUGGAGGAACACCAGUGGCGAAGGCGACUCUCUGGUCUGUAACUGACGCUGAGGAGCGAAAGCGUGGGGAGCGAACAGGAUUAGAUACCCCCGU